RNAcentral lists this ribosomal RNA (490 nucleotides) under uncultured bacterium. RNAcentral describes it as "partial 16S ribosomal RNA". It matches the Rfam family "Bacterial small subunit ribosomal RNA", at positions 30 to 507 of the family's 1533-position model. The record is from RNAcentral.
AUUGAACGCUGGCGGCAGGCCUAACACAUGCAAGUCGAACGGUAACAGGAAGAAGCUUGCUUCUUUGCUGACGAGUGGCGGACGGGUGAGUAAUGUCUGGGAAACUGCCUGAUGGAGGGGGAUAACUACUGGAAACGGUAGCUAAUACCGCAUAACGUCGCAAGACCAAAGAGGGGGACCUUCGGGCCUCUUGCCAUCGGAUGUGCCCAGAUGGGAUUAGCUAGUAGGUGGGGUAACGCCUCACCUAGGCGACGAUCCCUAGCUGGUCUGAGAGGAUGACCAGCCACACUGGAACUGAGACACGGUCCAGACUCCUACGGGAGGCAGCAGUGGGGAAUAUUGCACAAUGGGCGCAAGCCUGAUGCAGCCAUGCCGCGUGUAUGAAGAAGGCCUUCGGGUUGUAAAGUACUUUCAGCGGGGAGGAAGGGAGUAAAGUUAAUACCUUUGCUCAUUGACGUUACCCGCAGAAGAAGCACCGGCUAACUCCGUG